RNAcentral lists this transfer-messenger RNA (317 nucleotides) under Alphaproteobacteria bacterium. It matches the Rfam family "Alphaproteobacteria transfer-messenger RNA". Rfam says of the family: Bacterial tmRNA, also known as 10Sa RNA or SsrA, is named for its dual tRNA and mRNA-like properties. Lineage: Bacteria; Pseudomonadati; Pseudomonadota; Alphaproteobacteria. The record is from RNAcentral.
GGCCUUCAAACCCGCCCGCCGAACGCCUAUAUUAGGUGCGCCGGGCGACCGGCUAUGGCGAUAAACGCGACGUGGCAUAGGCGAUGCGGACCCGGGGGCAGUACCCGGCGCCUCCACCAAAUUCCCGCGGUCUGGCGCGGGGCGAUGGGGGCGACACAGGCUCGACGCGCGCAGUAAAGACGUCGACUUUCGCUCGGCAUGGUUCCGCCGUUAUCGGGCCAAUCCAAGAGUGCCAACGAUAACGACUUGGCUCUCGCGGCCUAACCAAACUUAGGCCACGCGGUCCGGGGGGAACCGGGCAACAGAAUCCCCCCACU